RNAcentral lists this long non-coding RNA (215 nucleotides) under Carica papaya (papaya). Its description in RNAcentral is "long non-coding RNA (CPAP_LNC009811)". Lineage: Eukaryota; Viridiplantae; Streptophyta; Magnoliopsida; Brassicales; Caricaceae. The record is from RNAcentral.
UCCACUAGCUCUUGAAGGGGUCUAGGAGGUAAACUACUCACAACCUUCUUGCUGAUCGGAUUUGCAUCUUGGUCCUCUUGAUUUGAAAUACUUAAUAGAAGGGAGAACUAUACUAGCCUAGUAAGAAUAUCACACUAAUCAAUGAUACGAAAAACAAAGGUUGAUAAAAAUUACAAAAUAACUAAUGGAGCCCUUAAUUUAAGUAAAUUCAUUAA